GGACUACCGGGGUAUCUAAUCCCGUUCGCUCCCCUGGCUUUCGCGCCUCAGCGUCAGAAGGGGUCCAGCAGCCCGCUUUCGCCACCGGCGUUCCUCCCGAUAUCUACGCAUUUCACCGCUCCACCGAGAGUUCCAGCUGCCCCUACCCCGCUCAAGACAGCCAGUCUCAGGGGCACUUCCCCGGUUGGGCCGGGGGCUUUCACCCCUGACUUGGCUGCCCGCCUACGCGCCCUUUAAGCCCAGUGAAUCCGAAUAACGUUCGCACGGUUCGUCUUACCGCGGCUGCUGGCAC
Molecule: ribosomal RNA, 292 nt
Filed under: uncultured bacterium
Lineage: Bacteria
Description: partial 16S ribosomal RNA
Source: RNAcentral